CAAAGGCAUGGUCCCGACCUUAUUAUCAGCUCUAACUCAACUUACACAUGCAAGUCUCCGCAACCCAGUGAAUAUGCCCUCAAUCCCCCCACCCGGGGACGAGGAGCGGGCAUCAGGCACAAACAUUAGCCCAAGACGCCUAGCCAAGCCACACCCCCAAGGGAAUUCAGCAGUGAUAAACAUUAAGCCAUAAGUGAAAACUUGACUCAGUUAGUGUUAAGAGGGCCGGUAAAACUCGUGCCAGCCACCGCGGUUAGACGAGAGGCCCUAGUUGAUAUUACAACGGCGUAAAGGGUGGUUAAGGAUAAACAAAAAUAAAGUCAAAUGGCCCCUUGGCCGUCAUACGCUUCUAGGAGUCCGAAGCCCUAAUACGAAAGUAACUUAAUAAACCCACC
This 395-nucleotide ribosomal RNA is filed under the name Cyprinus carpio (common carp). RNAcentral's name for it is "partial 12S ribosomal RNA". The record is from RNAcentral. Lineage: Eukaryota; Metazoa; Chordata; Actinopteri; Cypriniformes; Cyprinidae.